CCCGCACAAGCGGUGGAGUAUGUGGUUUAAUUCGAUGCAACGCGAAGAACCUUACCUGGUCUUGACAUCCCGGAGACCCUUAGGAAACUAGGGGGUGCUUCCAUCUGGAAGAAUCUGGAGACAGGUGCUGCAUGGCUGUCGUCAGCUCGUGUCGUGAGAUGUUGGGUUAAGUCCCGCAACGAGCGCAACCCUUGCCUUUAGUUGCCAGCAGUUCGGCUGGGCACUCUAAAGGGACUGCCGGUGUUAAACCGGAGGAAGGUGGGGAUGACGUCAAGUCCUCAUGGCCUUUAUGACCAGGGCUACACACGUACUACAAUGGCCGAUACAAAGGGCAGCGACACUGCGAGGUGAAGCCAAUCCCGUAAAAUCGGUCUCAGUCCGGAUUGGAGUCUGCAACUCGACUGCGUGAAGUCGGAAUCGCUAGUAAUCGUGAAUCAGGAUGUCACGGUGAAUACGUUCCCGGGCCUU
This 468-nucleotide ribosomal RNA is filed under the name uncultured Desulfobulbus sp. Its description in RNAcentral is "bacterial SSU rRNA". It matches the Rfam family "Bacterial small subunit ribosomal RNA", at positions 920 to 1382 of the family's 1533-position model. Lineage: Bacteria; Pseudomonadati; Thermodesulfobacteriota; Desulfobulbia; Desulfobulbales; Desulfobulbaceae. The record is from RNAcentral.